This 1390-nucleotide long non-coding RNA is filed under the name Felis catus (domestic cat). Its description in RNAcentral is "lncRNA (ENSFCAG00000048197.1)". The record is from RNAcentral. Lineage: Eukaryota; Metazoa; Chordata; Mammalia; Carnivora; Felidae.
ACAAGGUACUUACAAUCUGAAUGAAGGCAUUCUGAGGACACAGUAGUUAAUGUGCUGAAAGUUAUAAGAAUUUUUACAGAGAAGUUAGGAUUUUAAUCUACUAGUUACAAGUUUGAAAAUGAAGCUAUAAUCUUAUCUCCCCGGCAGGCAGGUUUUGUUCUUUGUUUUGUGGAAGUUACAGCCCGUGUUUCCCUCUGGGCCUGGUGACGAGUUGGGCAGUGUUCAGCUCUGGGAGGGGCAGUGGACUGAUCUUGAACCGCAUGAACUUUUAUCCUUGUCAGCGGUUGGGGCGAGUAGCCUGUUGGGACGGUAGCUGCUACAUAUUGUCCAUUAUUUUAUCAGGGAGCUGGUUGGGACUCGAGAUGGCAUCAACAUUUGCAUGCCACCAGAGGUGGCCCAGCAUUCGUGGCCUUUCCACCCAGGUCGGUGGGCAGCCAUUAAAGCUGACAGGGAGUGCAGCCCUGGUUUCUAGAAGAGGAUUGUCAUUCUGUGCAACGCAGUGUGCCACUGGGAGUAUUUCAUUCCAGGUCUUUGGACUUCGUGACAUUGGAAUUGUAAAUAACUUUGUACGUGUGACUUCCUGCUUUCGUAUGAAGGGGAAGAAAUUAGCUCCUCCCUUGUAUGGUAACUCCAGAAUUAAAAAGAUUGUGCACGUAUAGGGGUUGAGUAUAUUUUGUAAAACUCUAAUGAUUUGUAUUUCUGUGCUGUUCUAAAGUUUACCUUUUUACUUCUAUUAAUUAAAGAUAUAGAAACUAUAUAUUUAAAUCAUGUAAAUGGGACACAAUUUAGGGUUUUUUCCCCAGUCUUCUUUUUCAUCAGCUUCUCACACACACACACAGUAUGCUGCUCAGAUUUUUUUGUGUGCAAUAUAAACAUUUGAACAUUUCAGUCAGGUACUGAGCCAGAAAUGGUAAUUGAAGUUUUUUAGAAAGCUUCUGUGCUUAGAAAAUACUUUGUUUUCUUGAAAUAUUAAUAAUUUAUAGCUGGAAAAAUAGGAUCAAGACUUAACGUGUUUCAGACCACUUGGUCAUUGCUUCCUAAAUGUAGGAAGCGUUUGAUUAACAAGUUGGUGAAGGCAUUUAGUGGUCACAAAAAUAGUUUAAAUAUUUGAGAUUAAAGGCUUCCCACAAACCCUCUGAGAAAGUUUAGCUAAGAAAUCUUAGAAAGUUUUCUGAGGAGGUUUGGCUGUGACACAUGUUUUGAUCAGAAAGAUAGUUUCUCUUUGCUCCAGUAGGUUUAUAAUUUGUACUAGUUCUUUCUUUCCGUUGUCAUUUGUUAAAAAAAAAAAAAUGUUAAAAUUAUAAAUCAUGUCUAAUCAUAGUGAAUUGUAAAAGUUCUGUAUUUUUAUUUUAAGGAAACAUAAGAAUAAAAUUAUCCUGUUUGUCCUGCA